UGUCAUCUCUAAAACAGUUGUGUUUACACCGUUUCUAUUUCCAGUUCAUCCAACUCGUUUGUCUGCGCCGAAACACAAUUAAAUAGGCAACCCUCUUGAAACUCUUAACCAGUAUUGAACUUCUGUACACUCAUUCGUUAUUUAGAUGUGGACGUUGAUAAAGAGCUAUGCCUGUUUAUUUCCUAGAGGUGACAUCGCCGCCAGAAGAGGUUCGCUGGAAAUUAUACGUUUUCCCCAUCUAGUUUCGUGCAUCGCUGCACCGCCGGAGUGCGGAAGUGGUCCGUGGUCCGUGGUCCGUGCUCCGUGUCCACGUCCACUUGCCAUCCCGCCACGAUGUCCGUGCCCAUCCGGCAGCCGUUUAAGUGUUUUGCACCAAAAACAAAUCCCAACUGCAUGCAACAAUAAUAUUGCAGUGCAACGAUUUCCACAAUUAUGCAAAUCGAACCCACUUGCAAUUAUCGCAGCCGCAUGACGGAAGUUUCGAAUGCGAAUCGCAGUGCCAGCUCGAGAUCACCCUGUAAAAGAUACCAACCGAAGGAGCCACCA
Molecule: long non-coding RNA, 546 nt
Organism: Drosophila erecta
Lineage: Eukaryota; Metazoa; Arthropoda; Insecta; Diptera; Drosophilidae
Exons: 2
Source: RefSeq, a predicted model, not a curated record